Molecule: long non-coding RNA, 342 nt
Filed under: Monodelphis domestica (gray short-tailed opossum)
Lineage: Eukaryota; Metazoa; Chordata; Mammalia; Didelphimorphia; Didelphidae
Description: lncRNA (ENSMODG00000039149.1)
Source: RNAcentral
AUGAAUCUUCCUGAUUCCAAGCAUAAUCCACUGAGCCACCUAGCUGCCACAAUAAUAAUAGUUUUCAAAAGACACCCAUCUUGUCUUGAUUCUUUUUGGCAGAGGAGGGAGAUGACAGACUGCUGGUCAAGCAAAACUCCAUGCAGGGAGAGGGUGGUAUUUGAACUGGACCCUAAAAGGAUGGUGGAUAUCCUCUUCCAUCAUGAGUCCCUUGGAGAUGUCCUGGAUCCUUGUCUUGUUGAUAAUAUUCUUCCUCUGGUUGUGGAUAGCAUCUUUCUCAUAAGUCUCAGAAUUGUCCUGUUUCACUGCAUUGCUGCUAGUAGAGAAGUCCAUUACAUUUGA